This 392-nucleotide ribosomal RNA is filed under the name uncultured bacterium. Its description in RNAcentral is "partial 16S ribosomal RNA". It matches the Rfam family "Bacterial small subunit ribosomal RNA", at positions 523 to 918 of the family's 1533-position model. The record is from RNAcentral.
AUACGUAUGUCGCAAGCGUUAUCCGGAUUUAUUGGGCGUAAAGCGCGUCUAGGCGGCUUAGUAAGUCUGAUGUGAAAAUGCGGGGCUCAACCCCGUAUUGCGUUGGAAACUGCUAAACUAGAGUACUGGAGAGGUAGGCGGACCUACAAGUGUAGAGGUGAAAUUCGUAGAUAUUUGUAGGAAUGCCGAUGGGGAAGCCAGCCUACUGGACAGAUACUGACGCUAAAGCGCGAAAGCGUGGGUAGCAAACAGGAUUAGAUACCCUGGUAGUCCACGCCGUAAACGAUGAUUACUAGGUGUUGGGGGUCGAACCUCAGCGCCCAAGCUAACGCGAUAAGUAAUCCGCCUGGGGAGUACGUACGCAAGUAUGUAACUCAAAGGAAUUGACGGGG